Molecule: long non-coding RNA, 384 nt
Organism: Sinocyclocheilus anshuiensis
Lineage: Eukaryota; Metazoa; Chordata; Actinopteri; Cypriniformes; Cyprinidae
Exons: 2
Source: RefSeq, a predicted model, not a curated record
AUAACAGUGAUCGAAAGUGCCUUAGUAGACCGUUCUGUGGGCAAGGCCAAAGUGUUUGAUAGGUUUCAGUUUGAGAGAGUGGGUUAUUUUUCUGUUGACCCUGAUAGCACAUCUGAAAAGUUGGUGUUCAACAGAACCGUUACGCUCAAGGAGGACCCAGGAAAGAUAUGACUGGACUUCAAGACAGAAGCUGUACUUUCAGCUGCACAGCCUUAAUGCAUCACAACGCAGCUUUCAGUAAAAUCAGAUAAACCAGGGAAUUCAACGUAUUCUAUCAAUAUUGUGUAAAGCCUUUUUUUUAACUGUGCAAGUGCUGGGCUGUUUUGUAUACCCUUUUCAAUCUGCUGGGGUUCGGCAUCUAUGAAAUAAACUAAUUAAAGAUUU